Molecule: long non-coding RNA, 333 nt
Organism: Podarcis raffonei (Aeolian wall lizard)
Lineage: Eukaryota; Metazoa; Chordata; Lepidosauria; Squamata; Lacertidae
Exons: 3
Source: RefSeq, a predicted model, not a curated record
GAAGGAAGAGUAUAUCACUGCAUCCACUCUCAGAAUUUGCAAUAAUCUUUUGCAAGUCUUGUUAACAUGUGAUAAAGGUCAACAUAUACCUUGCCACCAGCGGCUGUAACAAUGCUCCAAUGGACAAUAACCAAGUUUAGAGUGACCACUUUCCUGAGUCUCAUUGCCACCUAUUGGAUGGAGCUACCACGACUUUCUUGACGGGUCACAUUUGAGAGCCUUCUGUCACAAGACCAUCAUUUCCACAACUCAUAUACAACUGUGACUGUGUGCUUCAUUUACACAUAGCUGCCAUUUGUGAGUCCUAGCCACAAACAUUUCUCUACCCAUGUU